Molecule: non-coding RNA, 429 nt
Organism: Paramuricea clavata
Lineage: Eukaryota; Metazoa; Cnidaria; Anthozoa; Malacalcyonacea; Plexauridae
Source: the annotation of a GenBank genome assembly
UUGUCAUUUUUUUCUAACAGGUACCAGUACUUGCUCGUCGCCAGUCAAGGAUCUUCAAAUGUGACCGCCUUUGCAAAUGUUUUUCCAAUUUUAAGUGGUUAGUAUUUAUUGCUAUACUGCUUGGCCAGCUUAUUGGAUUGACGUUGUUCACCAUCUGGGCUGUUGAUUGUUCUUCCGUGAAUUUCGCACGACUGCAAAUUGCGAACAUUUUCAUCUUUAUCUAUAUCCGAAGAUGUUGGAAGUGUUCUGGUUAUUUAACAGCUGUCUUGGUUCUCUUUUCCUCAUUUAUCACGUCGUGCUCCUUACGCCAACAUUUUAUGGGACACGAAGAAUCAUUCGUCAUUUGAUUUGGAAAAAGUAUUUUUAUAAGAUCAGUUUCGUGCUCUUGCUCGUUGUUGUGUAUGAUAUAUACGUAAUAUCAAAUGGUCC